This 403-nucleotide ribosomal RNA is filed under the name uncultured bacterium. RNAcentral's name for it is "bacterial SSU rRNA". It matches the Rfam family "Bacterial small subunit ribosomal RNA", at positions 36 to 506 of the family's 1533-position model. The record is from RNAcentral.
AUUAAUACUGGUGACACACAUAACACAUGCAAGUUGAACGAAUAUAAUGCGUUUAUAUUAGUGGCAAACGGGUGCGUAAAUAAUAAAAAAAUUAGUUUAUGAUUUUAUAUAAAAUAUAAGUAGAUUGACUCGUUGUAAAAUAAUUUUAUUUAGAAUUAGGUUGUUAAUUUGUAUAAAAAUAAAUUAAGCCAAUGAUUUUUCGUUGUUCUGGGAGGACGGACAACCACACCGGAACUGAGACAAGGUCCGGGUUCUUAUGAGAAGCAGCAGUGGGGAGUAUUGGACAAUGGGCGAAAGCUUGAUCCAGUGAUGUUACGUUGAUGAUGAAGGCUAUUAGGUUGUAAAGUUAUAAGUUUUGCUACAAUAUUGACAUUGGCAAAAGACAAGUUCCGGCUAAUCUCGU